CUGCUUGCUUUAGAAGCACAUAUGCUAAAAAGGGAACAAUUUAGAGAAGAUUAGCAUGUCCCCAAAUAAGGAUGACAUGCAAAUUUGUGAAGCAUUCCAUAUAAAU
This is a small nuclear RNA of Octodon degus (degu), 106 nucleotides long. Lineage: Eukaryota; Metazoa; Chordata; Mammalia; Rodentia; Octodontidae. The record is from Ensembl.